ACUUCAUUCGUUUUUUUCUUGUAAUAUUAUUCCAAGCAGUUUGCGCCAUCUUGCUCCAGUCCACUAGGCGGCGGCAAAACACACACAAGAAAACUAAAUGUAAAACGUUUCGGAACCAGAAGAAGCAAACAGAAGAAAAGAUGGCGGCGUCCAUGCUGGUGCAGAGGACGGCAGCGUUGUGUGGGACUUUAAAGGGAGCUUCCCUGUCCAAAGCCAUCCUUCCUGUACACUGUCGCUGUGGGUUUGUGUUGCAGACUGCAAGCUACAACCCCAAACGGCUGUGGCUGAACCUCCGGGAUCCCUACAUCCCCGACAAGGAGAGCAACAAAACCCCGGAGUGGCAGAAGACGUCUCGGUAUGACAGGAAGCUGUUCGGCCGCUACGGCUCAGCCUCGGGCAUCGCCCCCGAGUCUCUGUGGCCGUCUUCCAAGGAGCUGGAGAAGAUUAUAGCGGAGGAAAAAGACUGGCACCCACCUUUGGAAGUCAUGCUGAAGAACAUAGAGGCUAGAGAGAAGGAGGAAACCGAGAAGCGGCUCGCGAAGGAGAAGCUCAUAGCGGCGAACAUGGCCAAGAUGCCCAAGAUGGUGGAAGAUUGGCGCAGGGAAAAGCGCGAGGCCAAGCAGAAGCUGAAGGAGGAGAAGGAGCGGAAAGCCAAGCAGCUGGCCGAGGCGCAGGAGCGCUUCGGGUACAAAGUGGACCCCCGCAGCCCCAAGUUCCUGGAGAUGGUCGCCGAGAUAGAGAAGGAAGAGAAGAAGAAACGGAAACUGCUGAAGCGCAGACAGAAGGAGGCACAGGCUGCAGCGCCCCCUGUUGCAGCGCCCCCUGCUGCCCAGCCCUAGAACUGGAGUUUUCAGCAACACAUGCUGUCAGUUUUUAAGGGUCCGCCUUGAGUUUGGCCAGAGCAGCGUGGAUCCUGAACAGGGUCCUGGACUCCAUGGAGUAGUCCUUGUAGUUGUGCCUGAGGGACACAAGAGCAGGUCGAGCUAGUGUCUAAAAAGAAAUCCCUGCAUCCUGCAAGCUGUGGAUGUCUGACUUACUUGGCUUUAUGGAGUAUCUUGAUAGCCGCGUCUCUCCUGCCUUGGUCGAUGUAAAGCAGACUGAGCUCCACCAGAGCGUUGGGCACCAGAACUCUGUGAUUGUACGCUCGCUGCUCAGUCUUUCCAACAAAAAACACAACCCUGACCUGAAGAGCUCCAYCUCGUUCUCUCCAAAAGGCCGCGCCUCUUCCUCCGGCAGCAUGCUGAGAGUCGGACACCUUGGACCAGCGGCUCUCCUGGCUCAGCAGGUCUGCGUAGAAGUAGGCCAUCUUCCAGGCGCGCUUGAAGGUGAAGCACCAC
This is a non-coding RNA of Poecilia reticulata (guppy), 1337 nucleotides long. The record is from RefSeq and is a predicted model, not a curated record. Lineage: Eukaryota; Metazoa; Chordata; Actinopteri; Cyprinodontiformes; Poeciliidae.